Non-coding RNA from Thamnophis sirtalis, 1167 nucleotides. The record is from RefSeq and is a predicted model, not a curated record. Lineage: Eukaryota; Metazoa; Chordata; Lepidosauria; Squamata; Natricidae.
GGUUCCGGGUUCCUGGAGAUCACGGGGCCGCAGCGGCUGUUUUCCGUAAAUCGCCGCUGCGUCCGCGUUCGCUUCCGCUACCUGCUAGAAACCCCCUCCUGAAAGUAGCCGGAGGUGAAGUUGUAGAUAUGGAUGACCACCAUGAAGCAAUAGAUGAAAUGCGGUGUGCAACAUCACAAGAGAAAACAAAAGUCAGAGAGGAAAGUAAAAGGAAACGGAAGCGAAGCAGAAGCAGAUCAUCCUCCAUCUCUUCCUCUACAUCUUCUAAUUCUUCUACAUCCUCGUCUUCAAGGUCUUCUUCAAGGUCUUCUGCCUCACAAAGCAGAAGCAGUUCAAGUAGCAGAGGUAAGAAUGUUUUGUUACAGUUAUGAAAUUCAUUUUGUAGAUGCUGCCUUUAGAUGUUAUAUAGCCAAUAACAAUUAUUGACCUAGCAGGAGUAAAUAUAGGUGGUCCUCCAGAAACGUCCAUUCAUUUAACCACUGAUGGAAAUUAUGAUGGUACUGAAAACAUGAACUUAUGACUGUUCUUCAAAGCCCUGCCUAAUGCAGUGCCCCCCACGGUCAUACUUGAAUAACAUUUAGGCCCACUUGCAUUUAUGGUCACCCAUCCUGCUGUUGCCACACAUGAACACAUCUCUAACUGACUGUAAUCCUUGCUUGCCACUCGUCUGCUGGGUUCACCACCUUGGCUGCGCACAGAGUAGACAUUGUGAAAAUAUCCUACAGAGUUCUAGAUGAGAGCUACUCUCGGGGCAUGGGGUGCAUAGUACACUACUAAGUGCUGGGAUCUUCUGCUAGUGCAAAAGAAAGCGAGCAUGAAAGAAGGUUCUGGCUAACACACAACGCCAGCAAAAGAAAAAAAGGACGAGCAAGCAUGUGAAAGAAGGCAUUAGAAAAGAAGACCCAGCUAGUAGUGCUAAACAGUAUGGCAAUCACAACAGCAGGCAAGACAGCAGCGCAAAGGCAGGCAACCAAAUGGAAAAGCUUGGGGGAAGAUAAGUGGGUGAACGGAGUUGCAGUAAUUCUUUACUUUCUUCCAAGAAUGGCUCGGUGGGCCCUUGCCUAAUGACCAUAUGGGAUUCACUCAAUGACACCAACUGGGAUUGCCAGAAUUGCUGUUUCUUAGCCAUGUAGUUAUGAUAUUUCGCUUAAUGACCAUUCCCUUAGU